AAUAUGUUGCCAUUGCAGAUGAAGGAUUCUUAUACUGCUGCUGUUGCCUGGGAUUCCACUAGUAGUGGUUCAGUGAUCCACGCUCCCCUCCUGUGCUUCAGAACUCACCUUUUCCAUGCAAUUUUCAGCCCAACGAAUCCUGAAUUCGUGUCUGUGCUACGGACCAACUUCAACAGGAGGAGGUGGAGACUGUUUCUCUUCUGGCCAUGGCCUAUAUCUUUGCUUUCCUGAACCCUUCCAGGCAGAUGAAGCUGAACCCAAUUCUUCCAUAAUCUGGCUAAGCAACUACUUUUCUCUUCAUUUUUACUACUUAUCUGCACCUAGUACAAUGAGACCCUUAUCAAUGAAUCUCCAGGUGCUACUGCCAUAUAAAAAAAGA
Alligator sinensis (Chinese alligator) is the source of this 379-nucleotide long non-coding RNA. RefSeq lists it as uncharacterized. The transcript has 3 exons. The record is from RefSeq and is a predicted model, not a curated record. NCBI's taxonomy places the organism in Eukaryota, Metazoa, Chordata, Crocodylia, Alligatoridae.